Molecule: transfer RNA, 79 nt
Filed under: Phycisphaera mikurensis NBRC 102666
Lineage: Bacteria; Pseudomonadati; Planctomycetota; Phycisphaerae; Phycisphaerales; Phycisphaeraceae
Description: tRNA-His
Rfam family: tRNA
About the family: Transfer RNA (tRNA) molecules are approximately 80 nucleotides in length. Their secondary structure includes four short double-helical elements and three loops (D, anti-codon, and T loops). Further hydrogen bonds mediate the characteristic L-shaped molecular structure. tRNAs have two regions of fundamental functional importance: the anti-codon, which is responsible for specific mRNA codon recognition, and the 3' end, to which the tRNAs corresponding amino acid is attached (by aminoacyl-tRNA synthetases). tRNAs cope with the degeneracy of the genetic code in two manners: having more than one tRNA (with a specific anti-codon) for a particular amino acid; and 'wobble' base-pairing, i.e. permitting non-standard base-pairing at the 3rd anti-codon position.
Source: RNAcentral
GGUGAGCGUAGCUCAGUUGGUUAGAGCAUCGGGUUGUGAUCCCGAGGGUCGCGGGUUCGAGUCCCGUCGUUCACCCUUC